UCUCCAGAGUUCUACUGAUACCCUCUUAGUUACUUGAUUAAAAAUUGAAUAAUUUUUUUUUAAGGUUGACGGCAGAUGGUGAAAAAACUACGAAAUUACAGGUUGUGACAGAGCAAGAGUUUAUAAAAUCUACUUUUCUGAAGAGUAAGAUAGAAUCUGAAUUCUGGGCCCUUUAUAAGAAGAAUAUGAGUUUAUUGGAACAAAUGCUGGAAAACCAGGUUCCCCAACAAGAAAAACCCGCCAAAUUAAAACCCAAAUCAGCUGGUAAAGUGGCGCCAUCUAUUGAUUAUCAAAUAGAACCAAGCAGAUCAGUUUCUUCGCCACUGGAAAUAGAUUACUCUGAGAUGUGGAGAAUAAUGAACAGUCUUAUUAUUCUUCUAAUUUUGUCCCUGAUGGUUAUGGCCAUAUUCAAGAUUGC
Long non-coding RNA from Eurytemora carolleeae, 418 nucleotides. RefSeq lists it as uncharacterized. NCBI's taxonomy places the organism in Eukaryota, Metazoa, Arthropoda, Copepoda, Calanoida, Temoridae. The record is from RefSeq and is a predicted model, not a curated record. The transcript has 4 exons.